UCAACCUGGUUGAUCCUGCCAGUAGUCAUAUGCUUGUCUCAAAGAUUAACCCAUGCAUGUGUAAGUAUAGUAUCUACAGCGAAACUGCGAAUGGCUCAUUAAAACAGUUAUAGUUUAUUUGAUGGAUCCCUAUAUGGAUAACCGUAGUAAUUCUAGAGCUAAUACAUGCUUGAAAUGUCCGACUUGAAGAGGAC
Molecule: ribosomal RNA, 194 nt
Filed under: uncultured eukaryote
Lineage: Eukaryota
Description: partial 18S ribosomal RNA
Rfam family: Eukaryotic small subunit ribosomal RNA
Source: RNAcentral